RNA transcript from Podarcis raffonei (Aeolian wall lizard), 4444 nucleotides. It is a transcript of the gene named guanylate cyclase 2C, with no coding region annotated. The transcript is spliced from 27 exons. NCBI's taxonomy places the organism in Eukaryota, Metazoa, Chordata, Lepidosauria, Squamata, Lacertidae. The record is from RefSeq and is a predicted model, not a curated record.
AACCUGCAUUCAGUUAUAAUCCAUACAUUUGAGUUAAUUUAUCUGAAUUUUGACAAAUGGAUAAAUGGUAGAUCGUUCAUGGGCAUUUUUAAUUGAUUGGUUCUUUGGAAAUGCCAUCCUAUGAAUAUGUGUGUGUGUACACAUAUGGAGAAUGAUACAGCCAGACAUUUCUUGUUAGCAGCAGGUCAAAUACAAAAAAUGAAAAUAAAAACUCAAAGUAAAGCACUGUGUUUAUUUAGUGCACACGGGAACUUCCUUUUUGCCUCCUAUUUUACAGCUACCACGAGUUACUUGGAAAAGCAAAACAAACAAGAGGCAGCCAUCUGAUUUAUCCUUCUGCAUUAAUGGUCUUUUAAUUUUAUUUCCAUUUUAACUGGUUUUCUUCCAUUAUCUUCUUGGCCCCUCCUCUUCCCCUUACCCAUCAUGUUGUGUCUUUAUCUCACGGUGACUAAUGCCUCGGUUUUAUAGCUCUAAUGUUCUCAAUGGCAAACAUGAACAACCGACCUUUGGCCCCUUCGCAUUUCACAAGUUUUGCUGCUCUUAUAUGCUCGCAAGCAGAAGUACCAGCUGGGCAGGUGCGGGUGGAAAGGGAGCUAAGAAAGGGAACGGAAGGACGUAUUUGAGAGAAGAAAAACUUGACCAAGUGGUGGGCACAGAGCAAAUAUCCUCGCUUUAAAAUAUCAAGCGUGCAGUACACGCAAGAAGCAACGCUGGCAUGGACUACGCGGCAUCAUGAGAGAACAAAAAGUGGAUCAGAUUUUGGGGGCCCUGCUCUUCUUGACCCAGCUUCUGUGGCAUGCUGGUGGUGUGAUCAGAUGUGACAAAGAUGGCUACAUGAUCAAUGUAAUGCUCAUGAAUGACUCUAUGCUUCCAGUGAGUGCGGGAGAAAUAGAACCAGCUGUGGAAUGGGGCAUGAAACUGGUGAAAUCUGACCUGAAAGCAAACAACGUGAAUGUGAAUGUCAGUGCCGCAUUUGAUGGCAUCGACACGUCGCUGUACGUCUCCAAUGGCUGCCGCACCAGCACGUGUGAAGGUGUGGAAUUCAUCAAGCAGAUUUAUGCUGAUAAAAAACUUGGGUGUACUAUUCUAGGCCCAACGUGCACCUUUGCCACAUUCCAGAUGGUCUCAUUAGAGACAGAGGUGGUCCCACCUCUGAUCUCUGCAGGGAGUUUUGGGUUGACUUGUGAUUACCAAGAAAAGUUAACAAGGCUGUUGACUCCAGCCAGGAAGUUGAACUACUUCUUGGUUGAUUUCUGGAAGAAUUCCACGUUGCCAUUCAAAAGUGUCACAUGGGAAACUACUUACAUCUAUAAGGAAGACAAUGACACUGAAGAUUGCUUCUGGUAUAUGAAUGCUAUGGAAGCUUCAGUGACCUACUUCUCUGUAAACAUGAAAUUCCGGGAGAUCCUCAGGAGCUCAAUAGAACUACAAAGGAUUGUGAAUAAUCCAAAAAGAAAAAGUAAUGUGAUCAUCACAUGUAGGUCUCCAGGUGACCUUAAAAGACUCCUAGGAAAAGCAGAGGUGAAUGAGGACAUAGUUAUCAUCCUGAUAGAUCUUCACAGCAAUGUGUACUAUGAAGAUGCUCCCUCAUACAGUUACAUGAAGAAUGUCCUUGUCCUGACUCUGGAACCAUCAAACUUCACUGCAAUUUCAAACAGUAGUGGGAUUCCUUGGACUCCAGAUGCAACGCCUUGGAUGAAAAAUGACUUUGCUGUUGCCUACUUGGAUGCUGUCUUGCUCUUCGGACAUGCCUUGAAAAAACUUUCUCUUGCAAGCCCUUUCAUUGCUCCCACUAGCUUCAACAGCCAGUUUCGGAAUGUUACUUUUAAAGGUAUUCUUGGUCCUGUAGUCCUGGAUAAAUUUGGGGAUGUUGAUGUCAAUCUCACCCUUAUGUACACGACAAAUAAUUUAGAAUACAAGGCCCUCCUACGGUUUGACACUCAUCUGAAUGAGACAGUACCAAAGACGGACAAACCAUCAUUCAUCUGGAAAAAAAACACCCUGCCUAGUGAUAUUCCUGGCACUGGGCCGCACAUUCUGACAAUAGCUGUUUUCACACUUGCUGGGGUUGUGGUGGUAGUUCUGAUCAUCGCUCUGCUGCUACUGAGGAAAUAUAGAAGAGCCAUUGAACUCCAGAAAAAAUGGUCCCACAUCCCAUCUGACAAGAUUGUUCCUCUGGAGACUAACGAGACAAGUCAUGUUAGUCUGAAGAUUGAUGACGACACAAGGCGUGACACUAGCCAGAGGCUGCGGCAAGGCAAAUAUGACAAGAAGGUGAUAAUCCUGAAGGAUUUAAAGCACAAUGAUGGGAAUUUUACAGAGAAACAGAGAAUAGACCUAAACAAGCUCCUUCAGAUUGACUAUUACAAUCUGACUAAGUUCUAUGGCACUGUCAAGAUGGACACGAUGAUCUAUGGAGUGAUUGAAUACUGCGAGAGAGGAUCAUUGCGGGAUGUCUUGAAUGAUAAAAUCUCCUACCCAGAUGGCACCUUCAUGGACUGGGAAUUUAAGAUUUCUGUCAUGUAUGAUAUUGCAAAAGGAAUGUCCUACCUGCAUUCCAGCAAAACAGAGCUUCAUGGCCGCCUGAAAUCUACAAACUGUGUUGUGGAUAACCGCAUGGUUGUGAAGAUAACUGAUUAUGGCUGCAAUUCUAUUCUUCCGCCAAAAAAAGAUCUCUGGACUGCUCCUGAACACCUCCGCCAUGGUGACAUAUCUCAGAAAGGCGAUGUGUACAGCUUUGGAAUUAUAGCACAAGAGAUCAUACUGCGUAAGGAGACCUUCUACACUGACAAUUGUCGGGAUCAUAAAGAGAAACUUUGCAGAGUAGAAAGCAAUAAAGGAGCAAGACCUUUCCGGCCGGAUCUUCUAUUGCAUUCAGAGGGAGAGAAAAAGCAAGAGGUAUAUCUCCUCGUGGAAAGCUGCUGGGAGGAAGACCCAGAGAAGAGACCAGAUUUUAAGAAAAUUGAGACUACCUUGGCUAAGAUAUUUAGCAACUACCACAGCCAAACCAAUGAAAGCUACAUGGACACCUUAAUCCGACGCCUGCAGCUGUAUUCACGGAACCUGGAGCACCUGGUGGAAGAGAGAACUGAGCUGUACAAAGCAGAGCGAGACAGAGCUGACAGGCUUAACUUCAUGCUUCUUCCAGGGCCUGUGGUAAAGUCACUGAAGGAAACUGGACGGGUAGAGCCAGAACUGUUUAAAGAAGUCACCAUCUACUUCAGUGACAUUGUAGGCUUCACAACCCUUUGUAAAUACAGCACCCCUAUGGAAGUGGUGGACAUGCUCAAUGACAUCUACAAGAACUUUGAUCAAAUUCUUGACCCUCAUGAUGUCUAUAAGGUAGAGACCAUUGGAGAUGCAUAUAUGGUAGUAAGCGGUUUACCAAAGAGAAAUGGCAACCGUCACGCAGUGGACAUUUCCAUGAUGGCAUUAGAUAUACUCAGCUUCAUGGGCUCCUUUGAACUCGGACAUCUUCCAGGUCUUCCUGUAUGGAUUCGAAUAGGAAUUCACUCUGGUCCAUGUGCAGCUGGUGUGGUUGGGAUUAAGAUGCCUCGCUACUGCUUGUUUGGAGAUACUGUGAACACAGCUUCAAGAAUGGAAUCUACAGGAUUACCUCUACGGAUUCAUGUAAGUGGUUCCACUAUUGCUAUUCUCAAGAGAACAGACUGCCAAUUCCAAUAUGAAGAGCGAGGAGAGACAUAUUUGAAGGGCAAAGGAACUGAGAUCACUUACUGGCUGACAGGAGUGAAAGACCAGAAAUACAAUCUUCCAACACCUCCUUCUGUGUAAGUGAUUUCUUGGAGAGCUGGUUGUUAAUAGAAUGCACAAAUCAAUAUUUACAGUAGUAUGCCUCUAAAUACCAGAUACUGUAUAGGGAAUUGCAAGCACCAUUACACUCAGAUCCUGCUUGGAAGCUUCCCAUUGGCAUCUGGUUGGCCACUGAGAACAAAAUGCUGGAUUAGAUGCACCCUGACCCAAUACAGCAGGCACUUCUAGGUAUGUUCUUAAGUAGGGCAAAUCUAAUCCCCUCUCACUAGGCUGUGGCCCCAGUCAAGAUCACACAAUAUAUCUGAGCUACUAAACAGAGCAAAAACACUUGUAGCUGCAAGUUUUCCCUUCUGCCCCUAAUAGGAGCUGAAGGGAAAGAGACUUAGCUUGGGGUUGUGACAUGAGGGAGGGGGUUAGAGUUCCAUUAUACUGGAGCCCUGGGCUUAGUCCUUCGCCUAUAUAAAUAAGAAUUAUAAAUAUAAGAAUUAGACCAGGAAGUUAUCUGUGAAAAUGGUUAAGUUGCACCAUUUCUACCUUGCUUCCAUCCUACUUACUGGGCAUCCACAUUCAUCCUUGACAGGAAAUUCCCUAUAUUGUUCUGUGUAGCAGCAGAGAUGGGUGACAUUCCUUCACUACUCAUCCGCAGUUUUGUUUUCUGCUCCCUAUGGAGGUG